Rhipicephalus microplus (southern cattle tick) is the source of this 6740-nucleotide long non-coding RNA. The record is from RefSeq and is a predicted model, not a curated record. NCBI's taxonomy places the organism in Eukaryota, Metazoa, Arthropoda, Arachnida, Ixodida, Ixodidae.
CCAGAUAUCUAUCAAUCAUGGAUGAUUUUUGGGACUCGAUGUUUUUCAGUAGGGGCAGAGCACUCUCCCGUGCCUGCAGUUGUGCGUAUGUGUGCAUAUUCCCAGGAAGAGAGCAACGAAGAACGAGCAGGAGAUUCCUUGGCUGGGCGUCAUCGGCAGUGGCCUGGAAAACGCCACCACACAACGACACUACAGGAAACCUGUGCAGCUGGUCACCCCCAGGUCGAAUCGCCUGCCUGCGGACGAGCUGUUGCGACUGGCGGUGUGCCGAUGAAACCAUCUACCCACAGGCCAUGCAGGUUGCUUACUCGGUGCACAGUGCAGUUUCUUUUUAGGAAGAACCUGUAAACAGUAAUACCAACAUUCCAAUGAUCACCUAAUAGUACAUUAUCACACUUUUCUACUUGUCAUAAUGUAAAUCUGGGAAACUGAGUUUUAGUAUUUUUGUACGGUGACAUCUGAUGUGUUUUUGUGAACAGACCAUUCCAAUCUUGCGGCAGUUCUAAAGUGAGCGGAAUCUGCUCGGUGUUAUGCUGUUUGGAAUAAUAAUGACACACUAUUCUGCUGCAUACGGGGUGUCUCAGCUAACAUGUAAUGUGCCAUUAAAACCAAAAUUCUACAAAAUGUGCAGAAUGCUACUAAUAAAAUUCUGCAACAUUCAUCUUAAGUACAGAGAUUUUGUUCUGUUAUUCUUAAAUAAAGAACUAUGUACCUGGAGUCUACUAGCUGGAGUAGUAAAUGCAUGCAAAUACUAAAUUCUGCUCUGCAUUUGAAUACAGAUCUUCCUUUUCUGUAUAUUAAAUCAUUGUUGAAAAAAAAAAGAUAAACGAAAAUAGAGUGCAUGUUUAUUUGCUGGCAUUUGUGACAGCAGUGCUCUUGAUGGUUGUUUUGACAAGCCAACUUCACUAAACUACUAAAUCGCUGAAGCCAUGGCUACAUAAAAGUUACAAGGCAUCAGUGUAUUCAUUGGCCACUGCCAAAAAUAGUCACACUUCUUAUCAUUCUUAUAGACUGGUGCACACUGCUCUAUUUAGCAGGUAAUCGUUACACCAAUGCUUUAUCACGUUGCACUGUCGUCGAGUGAGCACUUCAGUAGAGUUGUCGGACAUGUCUUUUAGGUGUCCAGCUAUGAGGCAAACAAGUCUGUUCAUCUUGCAUUUUCAAAAAUUUUGUGCCACAACUUUUCAGUGCAGGAAAAAUAACUAGAAAAGUUAUAGUGAGUUUGAAACAACUUAAUGUGUAUGAUGUUCUGGAAUACAUAUUGCAAUUGUUUUAUUACAUGCCAUUAGGCACUGAGUAAUAAUUUUGUGAGUUAUUUUAACAAAUGGGUUAACUAAAAUGUAGAACAAGAUUUAUGUUCUCCAAAGACAUUUGAUGACAGAGCACAGUUGGUGUAGCCUUCAUAUCUUGUAUUUCAUUUUCUUAAGUAACUUGGUCCUUGAUAAAUGGAAUUCUUUGAAUAUCAACCCUCAUUACACACAAAUAUUGUGUCUGUGUGCCCAGAUGUUAAAUCUUUUUAUCUUUUCGCUCACAAUUAGUUGCCAUGUCACUGUAGCCUUGGGAGCUGUGUUAGUAGAACUAUUGAAAUUUGUUAUGUUUGGCAUUUAAACCACAUUUGCUCAUUAGGUUUUUAGGCUAUAUAACUAGUGCCACUGUGAAUGACAGUUGUGGUGUUGUAUGAGUAAGAUAUUUGCACUCGUGUACAGUGCACUUGAAAUAUUGCUCUACAAGCUAGCCAACUUCAAUCUCUUGUACAUUUUGUAUUUUUAUUUAUUUACUCAUAUUGCUUCCUGCCAUGGUGUUUUAAGGCAAUGGCAUUGCAAAGCCAUGGUUUGGCUAUAUUUUGAUGGGGGCAAGAAGGAUAAUGCUUCAUCAGAACCCCUUAUUGCUACUAUGUGGCUCAUAUUUGUAUUUUAGUUUUUGCAUGUAAAAAACUAGAAUUUAAUUUUAGGUACCUAUUAUGUUUACCUAUGUAGAACACUUUCUGAGAUAAGGUGUCCUAGAAUUUAUAGUGAAGCAUAGUGAAGUUGAACCAAGCAAAGGUUGAAAAGGGGCUAGUUGGCGCUCAAUCACUAGUAAAUAUGUUCUUUUUUUGCUUUAUGCUUCAAGUUUACUAGAGAAGUUUCACUAGUCAGUCUACGGAGGGCACAUCUCCCAUUUCUUUCUCCUACUACUUGUGUUGACCUGCUAGUGACACUGCUUAAAGCAAAAUUAAAAGGCUCAAUCAAUACUAGUAAUGUGUAUGUUUGUUAUACAGCUACUGCCAGUAGUACUGUGCCUACACUAUUGGUACAUUGCAUAACUGAUAGUGAUGUAAGUCACAUUUUUACUUGAUCAAUCAGGACCAUCAAAUGAAUAGCUUAUGUCUACGAAUUGCAAUUCUCUGGACACUGCAUGUGGAUUACAGAAGUUACUUAUAAAAAUGUAUUUUUCAAUUUCAAUUCUGCUUUAUUUUUCAAUGCACUGUCUCUUUUUUUACAUUGUUUGUAACAAAGUGUGCUUUUUGUAGUAUGUAUCUACAAAGUAUGAGCUACAGAUGCUUGACUUCAGUACUCACUUCUCAUGGCUUUUUUAUCAGUUGCCACAUCAUCAUUGGGCAGACACCUGACAACUAGUUAUGGAAUAAGUGUUCUUAUUCUAAACCAGUGAUUAAGAGUAGGAUAUUGUGGUCCAUAGAAUAAAUUGCCAUGUACUAACAUGCAACUCAAAGCAGUAGGUAUGAGACGGUGUCAUCUCCUGUGGCAUCAGAUCAAUCCUUCCCUCCAGACGCGCUCAGCGCUCCAUAUUAUUUUGCAUGUGCAAUGCCUGCGUCCAUUGUAUUGACCAGUGUAUCCAAAUGUAUUAUAAGGUCAAACAAGAGUGACUGCAUAUUUGGUCUCUGCUCCCUUGAUGCCAUGAACUUGUGUUUGUUAUCUGGAUGUUGGAUAUGUUGAGCCAUCAGUACUUCUGUGAUGGAUCUGGACUAAUGCCAGAGUUAGUAAUGCUUCACGACUAUCACUUCAAAUUACCCUCUUCAUUAGGUUCAUAAUUCUAUGGGGGGAAAUAGUAGCACUUUUUUUGAAUAAUCACUUCAACUUCUUUUUGGUGAAACCUUUCCCUCACACAAAAUUGCUAGAUAUGCCCGUAAAUGCAUAUAUGGGAUAUUAAACCAUUUGAAUUUAAUUUAACACUGUUUGUUUGUCCCGAUUGAGAUGUUGUGGAGCUUUUAUGAAAGCUUAUGUCAGACUGUUGUUUGAAUACAUUUCAACAUUUAUAAUGAAAUAAUGCCUUUGAAGUGCAUUUGUUUAGUUAGUCACAUUACAUUUAUUACAUAAGCAUGUGUAGCCGUGUGCUAGUCUCCUGUUUGAUUGAAUGAGUUACUGUAAUUUGAUUCAUGUGUUUUUAUUGCUCUCAUUUUUUUAUCAAGGAUUAUCUCAUCAAUAUAUAUUUGCAUGUUUUUAUAUAUUUAUAUUCUAUUCUAUUUACACUCCAUGUUCUACUCGCCAUGUUUAGUAGGUACAGUUAAUUUUCCAGCCAAUCAUAGCCUUUUUGCUGUGUUUCUAUAACUUCACAUUAAUAUAGAGUUUUGAUUUGCAUCAAAAUGGCUAUCUGGCAUAAAAGAAUGUGUCGAUACCUUCAAAUUUUCCUACUGCAUGAUCCUUGUCUUGCAAAUCAAAGCAUCUCACAUCCUAUGGUAACCUGUUCAAAGCAGUCAAACCUCUGCUCCCCAAAAACAGGAGCCAAUGUAAUAUUGUUUGGUGUUGCCAUAUUUCAACAAGUAUCAUACUGCCAUGAGGAAACUGAAGUUUCAUGAACCUGGACCUUGGAGGAAGAAUAGACAGGAGGGGAAACUCGGCUCCUUUUUGCGCCGCGAUAGUGUCACCCCGGGGAGAGGUGGCAGACGUCAGGACAGCGCCACCUACAGAACCGCGGCCGAACUGCUGCGCCAGAGCGGCAGGCGUGGGAAGCAUCGAGACCGCUCUUGUCGUUUGCUCGAGGGCUUGUGCUUGGUGCUUGAAUGCCGCUCUUUUGUACCAUGGAACUAUCAACAACCCAUUGAGCGGUUCGCUUUAAUUCAUCAAUGCGUCUGUUUCCCUUACAAUUUCUGUUUUCUUCAAUCAUUUAACUUCGCAUGCUAUAAGGUAAAGGCUUUACUUGCAGUAUAUUGGCAUGCAACAUGCUCUCAUUACGAUACAAAUGUCCUGUCGUGUAGCCUGCUUGCAAGCGGGAAUGACGGGGGUUGAUGCAUACUGCAAAAAAAAGUAAUUCUGAUCUGUCUAUGCUUUUCUGACAUGUGUUUUGAUUUCAAAGUUCAUGAUUUUCAUUAUUUAAUGUAGAUUGGCUACAAACAAAGAUGAAAAAUUUAUAUAACAUCACAGAUACACCAAAAUUUAUUCUAAAAGGCUCGUGAGGACCGCGUAUUCGUUCCUCUAUCAGUUUUUUCGUUUCUUCUAAGUGCGAACCACGGAGCGAGAAUGUAGUGCGGACGCACGGCGAUUUCCAAAAUACCUAGUUUUUGCAAAGCCUGGAAAGUUUUAUCUUUGAUGCUGCCGUGUGGUCCUUAUCACGCACUUCGUUCUUACUUUAGGGCAAACCUUCGUUACUUUAGGGCAAACCUUCAAGCCCCCUGCAUUCUUGCAAUCCUCUUUGUAGACAGCAACAUAGCAAGAACAGUGCACCCACUUACCAUUAACUUUCAAAAAGCGCUGUUUCAGGAGCCUGUUACGAACACACUUCACGAGGUGUGGCAUGUCGGAGAAGAUAUACACCUUUCUUGCGUCGUUCAUUGGGUGUUCAAAUGAGUUUUUCUUUGAACUGAGUUUCCCAUUUAUACCGAGUUCUGUCCACAUCCUUCUGUUUGUGCUCGCUACAUCACAAACAAUCCUGUCGACGAGCGCACCUGCCUUCUCUAAAAGUAUGAUGGCCUGCCAUUCCCAAAGCAUGUCAAUAAUAUUUCUGGCCCGCUGGGCUUCACAAAGUACUUCCACUACUAAACGACUCAAAUCGUGACCCAGAACCCAUUUUGUUGCUGUAGAUCUCUCGCUGCCCUAGUGGUACGGCAUCAAUUCUAUGGUUUUAAAUGUCAAUGUGGCAGAUGGCACUGACGCUUUCACCAUGUGCACAAAAAAAAGGCAUUCGACGCCAUCAAUGUCUAUGUAGUGUUCCAUGCAGGGUUUGGCAUUGGUAUGGGAUGUUCACUGGACAACUGCUGGAGCCAGCUUGCUGUAGAGGCAGAAGCUCCUGCCUCUAUUUUCUGCAUUGGCACAUCUUCAUUAGCAGAGGUAGUUGAAUUGUAGCUUGGCUGUGGCGGAGAGUUCAUGCGCAAUAUACUCGAAUGCUCAGACGUUAACCCCUUUCGGGCAAUGAAGCUCAUAUUGAAGUUCGUAUUUGUUUGAAGGCUAUUACUCUGGUUUCUGGUGGCUACUGAAUCUUGAUACACACUAUCCACCUUCACUCUUUUAGGGCUUCUUUUAUCAACAGUUUGAAGUACAUUACGGCUGACUUUGGGUUUUUUUGCUGGAUUCAAGUGCGGCGAAACGUCCGCGAAAAUACUAGGAACUGCCUCAGGCACCAACUUUGGCUUCUUCGGGUGCUCAAGAAUAACUGCGCCUCCAAGCUCAGCGUAGUAUUUGCGCCUGCUCACCAUUUCACUGGGGAAAUGCUUUUCGCAGACAUAUUCGCAUGUUGUGAAAUCGCAAUCCACCCGGCCAAUAGCUCUCGCCCAUUCCUGCAAACGUUCAGGGUCAGCUGGAGCUUUGAAAGUGCGAACAUUUUCAGCCAAGAAUUAUAUCCGCUGUUGCAAUUCGGGACAAAGCAUCGGCGCCCCAUGUCGAUUAUUGGCACCCUUUUAUACAGUCAACGUACAUCGCGAAUCAGCAGCGCAAUAACUGUCAAACUUACGACGUGCUGGUUCUCGAACCGAGCUCAUAUGUUGCUCUGUCUAUUCACGUCUGUUCAAGUGUGAUGAAGGAAAUGUCAUUAAAUUUCUAUCACAAACAUCAGGUGUGUAUGGCAUGCUCGGGUCACCAUUUUUUAUGGCGUAUGUUAAUAACUAGAAAAAAUGUUGCCUUUUGUUAUACCAAAAAACUUACAAAAUGCGAAGCCGCACUGCCGCAUCAUCAGAACGUCUGCUAUCUGUAGUGGGUCAGUUUGUCCCUUCAAUUCGAUACAAGAGCAUUCUAUACGAAGUGUGAAUAACAAAGAAGAUUGGCAAUAGGAUGCACUAAUCCGGCUUUACCUUUCUAACGCUAACAUUUUUAACUAAAACUUUUUGUACCACAAGGCAACGUAGCGCGAGUGGCCGGUGCAAGAUGUAGCAGACGACACUCGCAUGCGUCGGAGACUGCGGACGCGUGCGCUCUCCUGUCACGGCGAAAAAUAAAUAGUUCUGUGCGUUGCCGCAAAGAUCGCUGCGCACACGUUCACCAACCUCCUCUCUCAGGGUGACAUUUUCUCGGCGCACGCUCGCGCUGGCGCCGGCCCGUCGUUUCCCCUCCUGUCUUUCUUGCUCCGUGGCCUGGACAGUAUUGGUUACAGUGAAGUGAAUGCCUAUUUGUUUGCUGCUCAGAAUAUGCAUUUUAGAAGGAAUUACGUCAUACUUGGCAAGAAGAAGCAUAAAAAUGGCAUAUUCUGGAUGUGGGUUCUCAAUUUGACCAGCGUAUUGGCUUGGCUGGUUCCCAGCCUUCAAGCCAGUAUGAAAGUUCCAUGUGAUCAUACUGACCACUUGGUUGCGUAUUAAUAAAGGGACCAUGCGACACAAA